UCGAGGAUCUUCGGCAAUGAGCGCAAGCUUGACCGAGCGACGCCGCGUGUGCGAUGAAGGCCUUCGGGUUGUAAAGCACUGUCGAGGGGGAGAAAAGGGUUAAACUUUGAUCUAUCCCUGGAGGAAGCACGGGCUAAGUUCGUGCCAGCAGCCGCGGUAAGACGAACCGUGCGAACGUUGUUCGGAAUCACUGGGCUUAAAGGGCGCGUAGGCGGGCUACCAAGUCUGUGGUGAAAUCCUCCAGCUCAACUGGAGAACGGCCGCGGAUACUGGUGGUCUCGAGGGAGAUAGGGGCAAGCGGAACUGUGCGUGGAGCGGUGAAAUGCGUUGAUAUGCACAGGAACUCCGGUGGCGAAGGCGGCUUGCUGGAUCUCUUCUGACGCUGAGGCGCGAAAGCUAGGGGAGCGAACG
Molecule: ribosomal RNA, 411 nt
Filed under: uncultured bacterium
Lineage: Bacteria
Description: bacterial SSU rRNA
Rfam family: Bacterial small subunit ribosomal RNA
Source: RNAcentral